GAGUUUGAUCCUGGCUCAGCGCGAACGUUGGCGGCGUGCCUAACACAUGCAAGUCGUGGGGCAGCAGGCUACUGUCUUUUGGCAGUAGUGCUGGCGACCGGCAAACGGGUGAGUAACACGUAGCUUACCUACCCAUAGGUUAGGGAUAACAUCCCGAAAGGGGUGCUAAUACCCAAUAAUGAGGAGACUCCAAAGCCCUUAUGGGUGCCUAUGGAUGGGGCUGCGUCCCAUCAGCUUGUUGGUGAGGUAAUGGCUCACCAAGGCUACGACGGGUAACCGGUCUGAGAGGAUGACCGGUCACAGUGGGACUGAGACACGGCCCGCACCCCUACGGGGGGCAGCAGUGGGGAAUAUUGGGCAAUGGCCGAAAGGCUGACCCAGCAACGCCGCGUGGUGGAUGAAGCCCUUCGGGGUGUAAACACCUUUUCUGGGGGAAGAUAAUGACGGUACCCCAGGAAUAAGGGACGGCUAACUACGUGCCAGCAGCCGCGGUAAUACGUAGGUCCCGAACGUUGCGCGAAUUUACUGGGCGUAAAGGGUCCGUAGGCGGUUUAGCAAGUGGUUGGUGAAAUUUCACGGCUCAACCGUGAAACUGCCUUCCAAACUGCUAAACUUGAGGCAGGGAGAGNUCGGCGGAAUUCCCGGUGUAGCGGUGAAAUGCGU
This 663-nucleotide ribosomal RNA is filed under the name uncultured Aquificales bacterium. Its description in RNAcentral is "bacterial SSU rRNA". It matches the Rfam family "Bacterial small subunit ribosomal RNA", at positions 9 to 691 of the family's 1533-position model. The record is from RNAcentral. Lineage: Bacteria; Pseudomonadati; Aquificota; Aquificia; Aquificales.